Molecule: long non-coding RNA, 6050 nt
Organism: Cuculus canorus (common cuckoo)
Lineage: Eukaryota; Metazoa; Chordata; Aves; Cuculiformes; Cuculidae
Exons: 3
Source: RefSeq, a predicted model, not a curated record
GCCGUGGCCGCCGAGGUGCUUGAGAGCGCGGCGCAGCACCUGGAUCUGCUCCGCCAUCUUGGGGCGGGGCCGGCACAGAGCCGCCCUCAGCACCGCCCUCAGCGCCGCCGUCAGCUGGAGAGUCGCGAAGCUGCGCAGGUCACAAGAUCUGUGAUGAGAAUAGUUACUUAAAUGGGCAGUGAGGAGUUCGGGAAUGCCUAGAUCAACAACAACUCAUCCACUUCUCCACCCCAUCACCUCCAUCUUGUCCCACUGCCCUCUCCUGGUUCUGCAUCAGCAGGAAGAAAUAUUUUUAAUCACCUUGCUGUAGCCAUUGGAAGUUCUUCACUGAUGUUGCUGCGAGGCUAGUCGAGCAUGGUGCAGAAAAUACUUCACUGACCUUUACAAGGCUAGGACUACACAGACCAGCCACAAAUAGAUCUUCGGCACCUUGUCAGAGCAGGCAGGACUUGGAAAAGUCCCCAGUAAACAUAUCAUCAGUGCCACAACUGGCAUUAGCCAAUCAGCGGAACCCAACUGUCAGCACGGGGAGACUGAGUUUUGAUGUCGGCACCACAGGAACCGGGGAUUUGGCAAGUGACAAAACAGGACAAAUUAAGUAUGGAGCGUUAAACCUGAAAGGAAAAUGAGACUGGGGAAAAAAAGCCUGUCAGCCAAGUUCUCAUACAAUCCCCAUUUCAGCAUGAAGUCUAAUGGUUUAAGCUUCCCGUUCAGAAAUUUUUGAUUUGAACCCAAAGUGAUUUUGUGUACAAACAUGAAAUACAAGCCAUGCUGAUUCCGUGCUCUGUCCUGUAACCCCAGCAUCUGUUUCAUGCAAGACAGCUCCAGCUGUAACACCUCCACCGCAACUGCUGUGCUAGCAAACCAGAAAGGCUGAUGAAAAGGAACAGGCUGAUUUAAUCGACACUGAAGAUCACAAAAAGAAUAACGGUAUGGACAGGUAAGUUUGUAACCGCAGAAGGUGUUGCAAUGAAUGCACUUUUGAAAAAGAAGUUUUAAAUGUAAUAAUUCUUUGCACCAGGAACUUGACCAGAACGAGACAAGCAACCUAACUCCACAUACAUCUAUACAAAAUAUAUUUUCAUGAGAACUGUUUGAGCUAGUAAGCUUAUUCUGUGUAACAUUGCUCCCAUUUUUAAAUGACAAGAUUCUAAAAUGUAUAACAUUCUUUUUCCUUUCAUGUGAUUUAUAUUAAAAUUAUUUUCCUUCCUUUUAACACUGAAAACAUUAAAGCUGUUGACACUAAAUUUGUCCUUUCACUGGCAAAAAGACUUCUUACUUUUUGGCUAAUAAAAGCCACAGUUUGGUGAAAUCCUGAUCAGGUGUGAAACUCAGACUGCUGAAGAUCAAAAAGCUGAAAUUAUAGGUGAAAUUAAAGGUGAAAGGAAGAAGUCACAAAAAUAAUGAUAUAUUUUAACAUCCAUGGUGGUGUGAGCUUCAAUGUUCACACUUUUGUCAGAUGGUUAACAAUGUUACCGAACAGUGCAAGAGAAACCAGGAAUAUUAACCAGCCUUUCAUUCAGUAGCAAAGAGCAUUUAUUCACAAGACUAAAAAUGACAAUAAAUCACACAGAGGGUGAUGUGAGAUCACAUCAUAAUGAAAAAUAACUGUUAGAAACACUAAGGGCCUGAGUUGAAAGUAACUUAAUGUGCUCCAUUUAACCGAGCCGCAGUUAACUUAAAAACAAAAUCAGAACUUCACUAUUUCCCUGGAAGUGUUCAAGGCCAGGUUGGAUGGGGCCUGGGGGGGCCUGAUCUAGUGGGAGGUGUCCCUAUCCAUGGCAAGGGGGUUGGAACUGGAUGGGCUUUAGGGUCCUUUCCAACCCAAACCAUUCUAUGAUUCUAUGAUUCUACUUAGCCUUUCCACGCUGCAUUAUUCUUAAAGUUAACUGCAGUGGUUAACAGGCAGAAAUAAGACAAAAACAUGUUCAUCUCUGUAAUUAGUUGUUUUAAAGCUCCCGUUCCUGAGAAAACCCAGGAAAAUAAAAUGAUUUUUAAUGAUUAAUGAAAAAUCUUGAUGAGCAAAGUGAGUAACACUGAAGCAACAGCCUGCACCAUAGGAUCCAGCUUCCAGAUCACCAUGCAGACAAGAGAGAUGACUUGCCAGGCAGCACAGACCAGCUGCACCCUAUCUUUAAACUGAACUUACAAUGAAACAUUUUUACUAUCAAUGCAAGAAGUAUUUACUACUGCAAAAGUGGAAAAUUCUGGUUUAAGCUAAAGUAGAAUUGGUUUUCCAGCUUUAGUUAAGUCUCCUUUAAGUAACUGUAGUUUUUGAACAUUACAGACAGAAUGUCUCUCUGAUAGCGUUUUUUUUCUCCAAUAGUGCUUCUCCAGACACUGUUCUCUUGAGAAAUGAUAACAUCUUGUGUUCAGUAUGAUCUGUGCUCAACAGAUGUGUCUUCUUCUGUAAUCAUCUGUCUGUCUUUCUCUAUCUGAAGAAUCCAAGGUCAGACAGAGAACUGGUCCUGUCUCAAUCGGUGGAUAUUUGGCUGUUGUGAAGUUCCUAAUAACAAUAAAAUCAGUCCUUGGAAAGUAAUAAAAUAUGCAUGAAAAUCUGGGACAAGUUAUGCAUAUGCAUACAGAUGGGAAAUAUCUUUUGUACCCAGCUCUUGUCUUGUUACGCAUGACUAGCAGAAUUAUCUCCAUGCAUCUGGCGCUGUAAUAAGGGGUGCUUGAUUUCUAAAACUCCAAACAAGUCUUAGAGAGUUUAUUUGCCAUAAUUUCCAGUAUCACUAUGAAAAAAUACAAGAAAACUUUGGGGGAAAGAAGGUUACUUACCAGUAGCCAGAGCUCUCUGCAAACUUUUGUGUGUAUGCACGUUUGCUCUAUAGAGGUAAACAUCAGAGGUAUUCAAGAUUACUACAUGGGUCCUUCAGUACUGUGGGUGUGUACUCAUCUCUUCCCCUUUUCCUUGACUUGACAUCAAGCACAGAAUCACGAUAUUCUGUCAGCCACAUGUAGCAAGGGAGAAUGGUAUAUGUUCGUCACACAGAUGGGCAACAUACAAGUAUCAAGAAUCUCUUUGAGAUAAGCAACUUUUUUCAUGAGUAUAUCCCUGUACAUGGUCACACCAUGGAUAACCUAAGUGUCCCAGUAUUCCCUGAAAAAGGUGGUUGGCAGAGACUACUUGGUUCUUUGGUUGAAGAUUUCUUGAACUAGCUGUCCGUUUUGCAAGGAUAUGGAACAGAGAUGUUAUUAAACAAAGCCUCAAAUGUAGUCUAAGGACUACUGGAAUAUAUCCUGAUUACUGAUGGCGACUCAAACGUACUGUUUUCAAGAGAGGUAAUGCAGUCCAUUACCUAGUCUGGAGAUGGUUAUCUUGUUUGAUUUCUUGCCUGGUCAAGAGAACUAGAUUAAAGAUAAUCUGAAAGAUGCUGUCCUAGUCCUAUGCAAAUAAGACAACAUUCGCUUGCUACCCGACAUCUGAAUGGGAAUCUCAGACCUGAAAAUACAGUUUAAAAGGAAAAAGCAUGGGUGGGUGUUUCCUUAGUUGGUAAACUGGCAGAAAAAGCCUUAUGAGAGGUGACUGAGGGAACUGGGGUUGUUUAGCCUGGUGAAAAGGAGGGUGAGGGGAGACCUUAUCGCUGUCUACAAUUAUCUGAAAGGUGGUUGUAGUGCGGUGGGUACAGGUGAUUGGACAAGAGGAAACAUUUCAGAGUAGACAUCAGGGAAAAUUUCUUCACCAAAGUGGUUCUCAGGCACUGGCAGAGGCCGCCCACGGAGGUGGUUGAGUCACUAUCCCUGGAGGUAUUUAAAAGAUGGGUAGAGGAGGUGCUCAGGGAUGUGGUUUACUAGUAGACAAGUAUACCUGCUGGACUCGAUGAUCUCAAAGGUCUCUUCCAACCAAGCAACACUAUGAUUCUAUGAAACUCCACAUGAAGUGCAAGGGAUUUGCCAGGGAAAGACAGUAAAAGGUAUGGGACAGAAAAAGUCAGCCAUGGGGAUUUGGAUUUUCUGCUGUCCAGCUGAGGUGAUGGGUGUCAAAAAGAACAGCAAGGAUGUGUUUCAAACACCUGAGUUUAAACAGCCUGAUGUGAAACACGACAACAGUUCUUAUGCUUCUGAGUUAACACACCCUAAGAAAGUAGUCUUGACCCAGCAGUCAGUGGCAAUGGCAGUUCAGACAUCACUGAAGCAGGCUGACUUGUAUUCACAGAGCCUAGGGCACAUAGAGGAAGCGAGAAAAGAAAUCCAGUGAAAAUAAGGUGCUCAGGCCACCUCCUCCAAAACAAGAAAAAAAGCAGCACACCAGCCACAGAAAGGCCGCUAAAUACCCAGCUCAAGUAGCUACAACAAUGUGCAUGUCGACUCACCAGUAAUGGAGGAAAGGGCUGGUCUGGGGCCUCUUGCAAGGGCUCAACCCACGUAACUCCAUGUGCCCAGAGGAAGUCCACUCUAGUGUACUAAGAGAAGUAGCUGACAUUUGUGCAAGGCCACUGUCAAGGAUCUUUAAGAAGUCUUGGAGGUCUUAAAAUAAGGAAGAAACUUUUAAUGCUGAUACCAAUCAAUCACUACAACGACCUCCCCAGGGAUGGGGCAGAGUCCCCAUCACUGAAGGGUUUCAAGGUGCAAUUGGACAGGGUGCUGGAUAAUCUUAUCUAGGUUCCCUUUCCCACAAAGGGUUGGACUGGAUGAUGUCUCAAGUUCCCUUCAAACCUGGGCUGUUCUAGGAUAAACAUGGAUGAGCUGAGGGAUUUGAUCGCUAGAGAUUUACAUCUGUAGAAACACUGGUACUUUUUUUAAGCUGAGCAGUACCAUGUGAGAGGCUGCAUCAGCUGAAUCUUGUGGCCAGCUGUAAGCAAAGAACUGCAAAUCACACCUGAGACUUAAGCUAUGGAGUAAAAGAUUUCUGCAAGGAUGUGAGAGAAAUUUGCACAAUGUACUGCAUGUUCAAGCAGCUCAGUAAAGAGAAUGGAAAAGAACACAGAAAUUCUGUGUUAGAGACAGUUCCCUGAUUCUUUUUGGCUGGCUGAGAUCCUCAGGAGCUGAGAAAAUCUAAGGAACUCACCCAAGCCUCACCUCAUAGUCUCUUGGUGUUAGGGUGGCCUUGGAGCUGCUAGUGUGGAGUCGCAAAGGCCCCCAUUUAAGUUCAUCUUUAGGCUAAGCAACUUCUGGCACAACCACAUGUUUCUUGAUUGGCUCUUCCUUGAUUGUUCCACAUCUUUCUUGAUUGUUUCUUGAUGAGGCUCUUCCUCAUCCAAUGUUGCCAGAGAAAGAGAAGGUUCAGAAUAAACAGAACUCAGCCUUGAUAAAGAUUUAGAUAAUCCUAAAUGCUAUUGUCAGAGGUAGACCACUGCUUUUACUAGGAUACUUGUCUCCAGUUAAAGCAACGGAUAUUAAAUGUGCUAGGGAUGCAUCACUUCCUGUUGCAAAAGGAAGCAAGAAGCAAUCGUAUGUCAGUGUUACUUGUCAGCCAGGCACAUGCCUCAAGAUAGAAAAGCAUGUAAACCCAUCCUUAGACGGGCUAUGGAGUAUGAUUGAGGCAACAUAUAUGAAGUACACAAACCCACCUCUAAUAAGGAAAGGAAAAGCAGCAGAAACUGUGCUCCCACAGGGAGGGGCACUCAAUUUGACAAACUCAAAUUUAAAAAACAAUCAUAUGAGAUUGGUUGGAAAAGAGAACUACAUAGCCAAACGCUAACAAUAAUAAAGAAAAAAAAGACAGGAACACAAGAGGCAUCUAGAAUGCCUCCAUCAUUGUGCACUAAGUAAGAGGGAGGAGCAGUGUGAAAAAAGCUUUAACUUCUGAGACUUGAAAAAACAGAAGAGUGCUGUCUUUGAAUGCCUGCAGCAUACACUACUCUGUUCAUUUUUCAAAGUAUAAAGCAGCUCAGGUCUACCAGGACAUAAUACUGCAACACAGUAUUCCUUUCCACCCACAAAACUGUCAGAACGUACCCUUUGCUGCUGCACUUUUUAUCAUCUGCAUCAACAUAUCACCAGCACAUGUUAAAAUGUGAACUUCCUCUGCUUUCCCUGCCCUUGUAACAGUGUCCAGUGUUUAAUUCAACAAGAAACAAACCUCUUUUCAAAAACAACAGGAAGAA